RNAcentral lists this ribosomal RNA (782 nucleotides) under Escherichia coli. RNAcentral describes it as "partial 23S ribosomal RNA". It matches the Rfam family "Bacterial large subunit ribosomal RNA", at positions 1 to 816 of the family's 2925-position model. The record is from RNAcentral. Lineage: Bacteria; Pseudomonadati; Pseudomonadota; Gammaproteobacteria; Enterobacterales; Enterobacteriaceae.
GGGUUGUGAGGUUAAGCGACUAAGCGUACACGGUGGAUGCCCUGGCAGUCAGAGGCGAUGAAGGACGUGCUAAUCUGCGAUAAGCGUCGGUAAGGUGAUAUGAACCGUUAUAACCGGCGAUUUCCGAAUGGGGAAACCCAGUGUGUUUCGACACACUAUCAUUAACUGAAUCCAUAGGUUAAUGAGGCGAACCGGGGGAACUGAAACAUCUAAGUACCCCGAGGAAAAGAAAUCAACCGAGAUUCCCCCAGUAGCGGCGAGCGAACGGGGAGCAGCCCAGAGCCUGAAUCAGUGUGUGUGUUAGUGGAAGCGUCUGGAAAGGCGCGCGAUACAGGGUGACAGCCCCGUACACAAAAAUGCACAUACUGUGAGCUCGAUGAGUAGGGCGGGACACGUGGUAUCCUGUCUGAAUAUGGGGGGACCAUCCUCCAAGGCUAAAUACUCCUGACUGACCGAUAGUGAACCAGUACCGUGAGGGAAAGGCGAAAAGAACCCCGGCGAGGGGAGUGAAAAAGAACCUGAAACCGUGUACGUACAAGCAGUGGGAGCACGCUUCGGCGUGUGACUGCGUACCUUUUGUAUAAUGGGUCAGCGACUUAUAUUCUGUAGCAAGGUUAACCGAAUAGGGGAGCCGAAGGGAAACCGAGUCUUAACUGGGCGUUAAGUUGCAGGGUAUAGACCCGAAACCCGGUGAUCUAGCCAUGGGCAGGUUGAAGGUUGGGUAACACUAACUGGAGGACCGAACCGACUAAUGUUGAAAAAUUAGCGGAUGACUUGUGGCU